GCUGUUUGUUAUUUUGUUUUUGCCUUUUCUCUUUGAAUCCAAAUUGUAUCCGUCUUGGAGAGACAAAUCUGAUCUGCAUUUAGCACGAAUAGUCACAUUGAAGUCUCCCUAAGUACACUUGUAGGAGCAAAGAAACUUUCGACCGGAGAAAAACAUAGAAAACGUUUGUGAUACUAUUAAGCAAAAAUACCAUGACAUUUUCCCUCCAUUUUGAGCUGGAACAAUCUAGGAGCAUAUACAUGUUUUUGAUGUUCCAAAGGUUAAAAUAUAUUUUUGAAUUCGUCCUUUCUUUCGAUUUCCAAUUUAAAUGGUAUGAUGCUAACAUACAGAGAUCAUUUCUGUAUGUAUUUUCUUGGCCAUUCCCCCUUAUGGGGGGUGGGGGAGAGUAUUUCUGAUCAAGAGAUUUUUUUUUUGGUCUUCUAUAUCUGUUUCAUUUUCUUGAGCCGGGGAUCUAUCGGAAACAGCCUCUCUACCUCGUUAGAGGUAGUGGUAUGGACUGCGUACACUCUACCCUCCCCAGACCCCACUAUGUGGGAAUAUACUGGGUUUGUUGUUGUUGUUGUAUACAUGUGUAUAUGUUUUAUAAAUUUGUAUAUAACUAUAUAUAUAGUGUGUGUAUAUAUUGUAGUAUAUUUUAUUUAAAGUAGUAUGUAUUUAUUGAAUGGUACGUAUAUAUGUGUAUAUAUCUUCUAUGAACGUGUGUAUAUAUUGUAGUAUAUUUUUUUUAAGUAGAAUGCAUAUAUUGAAUGGUACGUAUAUAUGUGUAUAUAUCUUCUAUAGACGUAUAUAUUUAACGUAUACAUGUGUAUAUAUUUUAUAGAUUAGUAUAUAACUAUAUAUAUAAUGUGUAUAUAUUGUAGUAUAUUUAUUUAAAGUAGAAUGUAAGUAGAAUGUAUAUAUUGAAAUGGUACGUAUAUAUGUGUAUAUAUCUUCUAUGGACGUAUAUAUUUAACGCAUAUAUGUGUAUAUGUUUUAUAAAUUAGUAUAUAACUAUAUAUAUAGUGUGUGUAUAUAUUGUAGUAUAUUUUAUUUAAAGUAGUAUGUCUAUAUUGAAUGGUACGUAUAUAUGUGUAUACAUCUUCUAUAGACGUAUAUAAUUAAUGUGUACAUGUGUAUACAUAUACACUAUAUAUUUUAUAUGUGUACAUAUAUAUUGAAUGGUGUGUAUAUAUGUGUAUAUUUUCUAAAGUAGUAUAUAUUUAACGUAUACAAGUGUAUAUGUUUUAUAAAUUAGUAUAUAACUAUAUAUAUAGUGUGUGUAUAUAUUGUAGUAUAUUUUAUUUAAAGUAGUAUGUAUAUAUUGAAUGGUACGUAUAUAUGUGUAUAUAUCUUCUAUGGUACAUAUAUAUUACAUGUGUAAUUGUGUAUAUGUAUUAUAUGUAUAUAUCUUUUAAAUAGUAAUGUAGUAUAUACUAUACAUAUAGUAUAUAUCUAUUGUUUAACGUAUUGAAAAUGUAUAUAGAUGGGUAUAUAUAGUGUUUAUUGGAGAAAAAACUUUUAUUUUUUGGUUUUCGACCGGAUUUUUAAUCGAUUUUGAUCGGGUUUAGGUGGGUUGGACUGGGUUGGGUUAAGUGGGCCGAUUCAGGGUUGUUUUAAAAUUUUUUACUGUUGGGCCCAGAAUCGGACCAGCCCGUUUAACUAGGCUCGAAUCCGAACCGGCCCACAAAUCGAAUAAAAUUCACGGGCCGGUUUCGAGUUGACCCGGCUCGGCCCACUUAACACCCUUAGUAUGACAGGAAGUGUCAUUCUCUUGUUGGAUGGUAUGAAGUUGGUGAAAAUGAGUUGUUUGGUCCUGACUUAGUUUACCAGCCAUGGAGAAAGUGAAGAUGAUUCUGGAUAAACCGCUCAAAGUCGCCAAAAGUCCUAUGCAGAUGUGAGGCGUAGGGAGUUAGAGUUUGAGUUUAGUGAUUGGGUGUUCUUAAAGGUGUCUCCUAUGAAGGGGUGAUGCGAUUUAGUAAAAAAGGAAAGCUUAGUCCUCAUUAUGUUGGUCCGUACUUGGUUUUGAAGAGGGUUGGUAGUGUUGUGUAUGAGUUAGAGUUGCCUUCUAGUUGAGCUCUUCAUUCAUCCGGUAUUUCAUUUCUCGAUAUUAAGAAGGUGCGUGGGUGAUCCUUUGUCGAUUGUCCCUUUGGAGGGGUUGGGUAUUUUGGACUCCUUGUCUUAUGAGAAAGUCCAAUUGAAAUCUUGGAUCGACAAGUUCAUUGGUUGCGGACGAAGGAUGUGGUUUCAGUAAAGGUUCUUUAGAGGAACCACAAAGUUGAAGAGGCCACUUGGGAAGCUGAAGAGGACAUGAAGUCCAAGUAUCAGUUCUUGUUUCCCAUUCCGAAAAUCGUGCCCAAGGAAUAUGUUAUUCUUACCAUCUUUAUUUUCUAACUUUGUUAAAAGAAAGGGUGAUUUCCUUGGCAUCUUCGUUUUCUAACUUGGUUAAAGGUAAAAGUAAAGGUCUAUGGAGUCCAAUCGUGCUUAUGUUGCCUUGACCCAUCAUUCGAAGAUGAAUGAUCCAAGUUAGGGAGAAUGUAACGCCCCAAAUUUUUAGCCCUUGAAAAAUUCUUGUGCUUAGGGCUCACUCUCUUGGUCACGACUCGUGGUGAUAAGUUGUGAGAUGUGGUUACGGGUCAUAGGACCCUGGUCAUAACCAAAUUCAAAACUUAGUGGCAAAUUUCUGCUCUGAGUAUAAGUGGCUUACUAUGAGACGUGAGGAUAUGUUACGAGUUGUAGGUUCAAAUCAUAUGAUGUCCAGUGUUUAAUUAAUUUGGGUUUUGCGUAGCUUAUGACUAGACCUUACGAGUCGUAAGAUCUCAUUAUGAGUGGGUUGGCAGAGUCGUAAGGUAGGCAGUUUAUGGGGGCCCUAAUCACUAUUUUGGUUAAGGUAUGGUUACGAGUCAAGGGGUUGACUCAUAACUAAAGGCGACUUUUUUCAUCUUUUAAGUUGAGGACAUUCUAGACAUUUCCCCUCUUUCCCAACUUAAAACCCACGUCUUAUAACUUCUUUAGGACAUUAUUAGCUAUCAUAAACACAUCAAAUAAUCUCUUAGAAUACUCCUAAAUCCUCAAGGGUCAAGAACACUUAGGGUUUUCAUGAAGCUAUUCAGUUGGGACUUUCAAGGAUAAUUUCUCUACGUACUUCUUGGUGAUUAAGGCAUGUUACUCUUCCCUCAUUGUUAUUUUAUUAAAAAGCACAUGUUUUAAGGUAUAACUUUUAUGGUAUUGUUAUGGUUUUGAAACAAAGAUUGGGGGGUUUUGAAUGCUUGUGGUUGAAUGAUGUUUUCCUAUGGUUUAAUUGUGAUUAUUCACGCUUUAAAUAUGGUUUUGAACAUGUGGGUGCAUGGGUAUUGUGAAUGAACUUAUAAAUUGUGAUUUCUUAAACUUGCGACUCUUCAACCGUCCAUGACCCCAACCCUGUAUGGUGAAACUGGUUUUCAGUUAUAAGAAAUAUGGGAAUUGAAUUGUGGCAUUAUGAUGUUGAAUUGAACCUUAUGGAACUAUGUUUUUACAAACUAUGGCUUUAAUGAACUAAAGGAGGUCGAGGUAUUCCUCCAAAUUGAUUUUAUGAACUAAAAUGGGGUGUGGCGUUCCCCCAAGUUAAACAUGAUUGUUAUGGCAUAGAGUUAAACUUGCAAGUGAAGGGUAUGGCGAUACCCCUGUAUGACUUAACAGUUGGUUCAUUGAUCAAUAAUUGAAAUUAUGUGCAGCUUGUUUUAAAUUAGCUUAAUGGGAAUUAUAUAGCAAUGUUGAGAAGGUGUGGGUCUUGCAUGACUUGUACUGGGAACUCGUGUUUACCGACAUAAGUUUUGGUCUUGAUGACCUGUGUGCAUGAGUCACACUUGAUAUAUGUUGGGAUGGAUAAUUGCCUAGAUGGCUUAGCUUUCCCUCAGAUUUUAUCUGGAACGUGUGGCUAACACGCACCGGGGCCCUUUCAACAGGGGGAGCUAUACCCAUAUAGCCCGUGAGUGCCUAUUAUGACGGUUGAGCUACAUAGUCCAGGAUAAAGUUUCCCUUCAUGAUUAAACUUGUUCCCUAUACCGGCAUUAUAUAUAUAUAUAAUUGCAUAUGGUUAUGUACAAUGGUUUGACUUGAUUUUGAAUUGAUGGCAUUACUUUAUCUUUAUCUUUAAGUACAUGCUAAUGUUCACCCCACUAACCGUCUCCGAGCGCUGCAUCCCCACGCGAUGUAGGUGCCGGAGCAAUUUUUACUUUCCCUGCGCAGAGUUAGGUGGAUCAGUCCAGUUCGUUAGUCUUUGAUGGUGAAGUGGUGAGCUUCCAUUUCUCCGAAAGACUUAGUCAUUUCAUCCGUUUCUUUCCAUAAUUUAGAAAUGAAGAGUUCACAUUGUCAUUGUCAGAGUCGGGGGCAUGCCCCAACUUUUUAUUGGUACUCAUUUGGUAGAGGCUUUGUUUGGACUACUGUGGACAUGGGUGGUAUGAUUUGGUUUGGUUAGACUAGUAUAAUGUCUUUAAGAUUGAAUUUUCUUAUCUUGUUAUAUGUUCAGAAUUCAUCCGGCAAGGGGUGUACGGUAUAGACGGUGGUUUGGGUAUUUGGGGGUAGUCUCUAGUCCUUAUUGGACUUGAGAUACCCGUCACGGCCAGGCCCUGGUUCGGGUCAUGACCCCUAAGACUUGUCUCAUAUUAAAUCUUAUCCAUAUUUGUUGCCUUGAAUUGGUAGUUUGAUUAGAUUUUGGCAAAACAACUUUCCACCCCACCCCACCCCCAUUUUAGUUCAUGUAUUUCAUUUUGUUUACAUUACGGGUAUCUAUUUAGUAGCUAUUAACAACCAUAGGAUUUGGAGACUAAUUCCACUCCUUGAGGAUUCGACCCAAACUAACAUUAGGUUAAUAACUUGACAAAAAUCGCCUUACCCAUUAAUCAUGAAGUGGGUUGAGAGUUAUCAAUAGGGUUGCUGCCCUUGUGAAAGAACGUCAACUCAAUGGCUCUCUUUUCUCUCAUCCUAAACUUUUGACCUAAUUCUCACAAUGACCAAUCAACCAAUUCUGGCAACUGGCCUACUGGCUCCAAUGGCUUACCAAAACCUACUAACCCUUUUUCAAUUCCCACCUCUCCCUUCCAAGAACAUUCAUGAGCCUUCCACGUACAAUACUAGCGCUAACAAAAUCCAAAAAGAUGAAGCAUCCCCAAAGAAAUAUUUUGGUGCACUUUUUAACAUUGAAUAUGAUAAUGGAGUACCAAUGGUAACGUGAACUCAAGCUGAGGUCAAUCGCAUGAACAUUAUAGAACAUCUCCAAUAUUCUAUUAUUGGAAAAUUCUCUUUCAAUUGGCCUAGCAUUGAAGAUCUAAGGAAAGCAGUUCCUUCACAGUGUAGUAUCAAAGCUGACUGUCGCAUAGAGUAUUGCGAAAUAAACAUAUUCUUAUUAGAUGUGUCCUAGUAGAAGAUUUCGUUAAUGUGAUGUCUAGAACCUCGUAUUAUAUCAAGGACAAGAAUGACCAAGAUUUUCAGAUGUGUUCUUUGAUUUAUGAUGCAAAGUUCAAGGUGAAUAAGGAAACUACGCAAGCUAUGACAUGGAUUUCAUUCCCUAUUCUACUGCUUACCUUUUCUGUUAAAAACACACUUUUUACAAUAGCUUUAGCGUAGGAAAGUCAUUGCAAUUAGAUAUGGCCACCCAAUAAAACCAGACCUAAUUAUGCUAGGGUCAAGGUUUAGGUCGACCUAUUAUCUACGCUCCUUCAUUCGAUGAAAAUGAAAAUCAAAGAUGAUAAAUCAGGAAGUGAGAGCACAGAAACUAUCAAGAUACAAUAUGAUCUGCUCCUUAAAUUUGUACCAAUUGUAAUUUUCAAGGACAUAACACAAGUAUUGUAGAAUGUUACAACCGGAACUAAGACAACAAAUGCAAGGCAACAAUGAUGAAGGCACACAAUCUCUAGUAGAGAGAUCACCUCAGAAACAAAAGAAGUCCAAAACAUUUCUUCCAAGGAGACAGAUAAGCGGCAAAAUAGUUGGUGAUCUACAGGUUUGGAAAGAAAAAGAAAAUAUCAUACAAGACAUAAAACAUAAUAACAUGAAGGCAAUGUACAACAAAUCUGAUGAUGAUUAGAAAAUUGCAACCAAAAUUAAAUUUGAUACAUUGACAGACUUGAAUCGUGAACAGGGAGAAAGAAAAGAUAAUCAAGACAUAGGAGAACUUUCCGAUAAGCAACAUGUGAAGAUGGAUAGCUUUGGUGAUAAUGAUAAUACACAGGAGCUACAAAAUAAAGAUGCAAGAAAAGAAGUUCAAUAAGUAGACAUUCAACGCACCACGGAAGAAAAGUGACUGCAACAGUAGCAACAAUGGAGGAAAAGGUGAGAGGACAAGGGCUUGGGUGGAAGGAGUUUUUGAAAAAUCAUCCCAACAAAGAUCUAGGAAGUGGAGAGAUAGGGUAGAAUAGGAGGAUGGGAUAGAGGAUGAAGAAGUGGGAUCGUAUAAUAGCUUAUGUGAAGGGAAGAAAAUGGGCACAAAAUCUUUUAAUGCUAUUAUAUUAGCACCAGAUAUUGUUACAACUAUUAAAGAUUUGCAAUCAUAUGAGAAUUUGGUUGAAUAUUAUCCACCAAAAAAAGGAGCAUGCAGCCAUAACAAAUGAUGAAGCCAGGGUUCCACUUGAAAGUAAUGAUAUUCAAACGACAAAAUAUCCUAAUAGGAAGUUGUAAGGAAUUGUUACUCAUUCUUCAAGAGAAGAAGAGGUAGAAAAGGAAAAAUUAAAAAAAAGGAGGACGUAGUUCAAAUAAUUCUCCCAAACAAAAAGGAGGCAAAAGAGGUAGUAAAGAAGGAAAUACAGAACUGCAACAGUCUAAUGUGAGACUGGCCAGAAGUGUUGACACUAAAUUUAAUAGCAUGUGAUGAUUAAAGUCAUUUUUUGAAAUAUCAAAUCAGUGAGAACACAUCAAGCUUUUCAUAGGGUACAAAUGCCUUAUAGGCAUCAUAAGUUUACAUUGAUUGCACUAUUGUAGCCUAUUCAAAGACUAACUCAAAUUAACAAAUACAAAAGGAGACAAGGAAUGAAAAAUAAAGGUAGUAAUUGCAAUGUGAAAAUCUAGUACUUUGUAGAAUAUAAUGUGGACGUUGAAGCGGCUAUGGAUACAGGCCAACAAAUUACUUUAAAGCUUUUGUUACGGGAUUCAAAUAAGCAAUGUUAUACCUCUAUUGUAUAUGCUCAAUGCAUUGAGAGGGCAAGGUUAACUUUGUGGGACAAUAUUUAUCAAUUAUCUAAUAACAUGGAGCUACCAUGGUUUGUGGAAGGAGAUUUCAAUAUUAUUUUAAAUGAAAAGGAGAAACUAGGAGGUUUUUCUGUUCUCCCCCAAGAAGGGGAAGAUUUUGCUGUUUUGCAUCAACUCAUGUGAGCGGCAAGAGGUGAAUUACACAGGUAACCCUUUUACAUGGUGGAAUGGUAGAGUAGGGGAAGAUUUCAUUUUUAAAAGACUUGAUAGAGUUGUCAUCAAUAAACUCUGGCAAUGGUUUGAAGGAAUGGAAAUGGAACACUUAUGCAGAACAAGUUUAGAUCAUGCUUCAUUAUUGAUUACUAUGACGAAUAAAGGUAAAAUUUUCCAUAAACCUUUUAAAUUUUUUGAAGUUUUGUGCAGAUAAUGAAGGCUUUAUGGGGGUAGUGAGACAAAACUAGACUGCAGAUAAUGAGGGCAAUUGUUUUUACCAGUUUAAUCAGAAGGUUCAAAAAAGCACUGACUAUUUGGAGAAAGGAAACAUAUGGUGAUAUUUUCAAGUAUAUACUAAUCAGAGAAGAGACAAAAAAGAUUAAGAAGCAGUUGUUUAAUGAUGUUCUUGAUGCUGAGAAUAGGAUGGUUAUGCACCAGGCUCAAGCUGAACUCAAAAAAUACUGGCACUAUGAGGAAGAAUUUUGGAGGCAAAAAGCCAGUAUUACUUGAUACUCAGGAAGGUGACAAAAAUAUUAGUUCAUUUCGCAAUCUAGUUAUGGGCAAGAGAAAGAGGUUGCAAUCAAAAGUAUUCAGAAUGAAGAAGGGCAGUAGUUACAAGAUGAGGGACAUGAAGCUAAUGAGGCUAUCGAUUUUAUCAGAAGCAAUUCACUCAAGAGGAGGAGGCUAAUGAUUUCUCAAUUAUUAAUCAUGUGCCAGAAUUAAUUAGUAGAGAACACAAUGAGUUGAUGUGCAGGAAGCCAGAGUUGGAGGAAGAAAAGAAGGCUGUUUUUAAUCUACAGGGUUUCGUACUAGUCGUCCAGAUGGACUAAUAGGUUUAUUCUAUCAAAAAUAUUGGGAUAUAGUGGGAGGAGAUGUAUUUACGCUAGUUGAAGCUUUUUUUUUUUUGCAGGAAACCUAUUACUCAUACAAAUCUGGUGCUAUUACCAAAAAAGACUACCAUCCAGAUAUUUGCAGAUUUGAUACCUAUAAGCUCGAGUAAUUUUAUUGAUAAAGUUAUUUCUAGAGUGGUACAUGAUAGAUUAGAAGAUGUACUGUCUCUAAUUAUUUCUCCCAAUCAAUCAGAUUUUGUGAAAGAAAAAGCAUAAUAGAGAAUGUACUACUGACACAGGAAAUCAUCACUGACCUAAGGAAGAGAGGAAAGCCAAAUAAUAUUGUAAUAAAGCUGGAUAUGUCCAAAGCUUAUGAUAGAGUUUCUUGGCUGUACCUUUGUAAAGUUUUGAGAAAAUUGGGAUUUGAUGAAAUUUUUAUUGACAUGAUUUGGAGAUUACUAGCUAACAACUGGUAUUCUAUUUUGUUGAACGAGCAAACUCAAGGAUUUUUUCAUUCAACCAAGGGAGUGAGGCAAGGAGAUCCUUUAUCUCUAGUCCUUUUUAUCAUUUUAGCUGAAGUUUUGUCUAGAGCUUUGAAUUCUCUGACGGAGUCAGCGAAUUACCAAGGAUUUGAUAUGCUUAAGUGGAGUACCAAAAUUAAUCACCUAACUUAUGCAGAUGACACAAUUAUUUUCACCUCUGCAGAAACAAGUUUGUUAGGAAUGAUUAAAGAGGUUUUACAUGGGUAUGAGAAGGUGUCCGGUUAGUUAAUAAAUACAGAGAAAUCUUCUUUCUAUAUGUAUUAGAAGAUUCAAGAGGUUUUGCUUUAGGAGGUAGCUGACAUCACUGAUUUAAAAGAGGUGUUUUUCCUUUUAACUAUCUGGGUUGUCCCAUUUUUCAUGCUAGAAAGAAGAAAGUAUAUUAUAAUGAUCUAAUCAAGAAUAUCAAAGAUAGGCUACAAAAUUGGAACAAAAAACUUUUGUCAUUUGAAGGUAAAGCUGUAUUGAUUAACAAUGUGCUUCAGAGUAUGCCAAUUUAUCUGUUGUCUGUAAUGGCACCUACUAAGUACACUUUAAAUGAAAUUCAUAAAAUCUUUUCUAGAUUUUACUGGAUCAACAAGGAAGAAGGGAGAAGUAAGCACUGGUCAACAUGGUUGAAAAUCUACCUUUCUAAACAGGAAGGGGGCAUAGGCUUCAGGUCUUUAUUUGAUGUUUUCAAAUUCUUUUUUGCCAAAUUUUGGUGAAAGUUCAGAACUACAACAAUAAUGUGAAAAAAUUUCAUGUGAAAUAAAAUAUUGUAAAAAGUACUAACAAUGGUGAACUGGAAAGGGGGGUCAUAACUUUCGAAGAAAAUGUUGGAGGUUAGGGAUGAAAUAGAAUCCAAUAUUUGGUGGGAACCUAGAAAUGGUAAUGCAAACUUUUGGUUUGACAACUGGACUAGGUUGGAUCCUCUGAUUCAUCUCAUGCCCUCAAAUCAAAGAGACUUGAGAUUUGAAGAGGUAAAUCAUUUCAUGAAGGAAGUUUUGUGGAAUAAAAAUUUGCUCAGGCAUAACUUACCAUCUUAUCUGGUUGAGCAUAUCAUGACAGAAUUGCCCAAGAAAGGGAAAAAUAUAGCUUGUGAUAAACCAUGGUUUCUAGGCAUAAGCAAUGGAAAUUUUACUGUUAAGUCCUCUUGGGAAAUAUGUAGGCAAAGGGAAGAGACACAGGGGUUUUUUCACAAGAUAUGGACAGUUGGAUUACCUUAUAAAAUCUCUUUUUUCUUAUGGAGGGUGUGGAAGAAGAAACUACUUGUUGAUGAUGUUCUAGCUUCGAUGAUGAUCAAUAUUGUCUCAAGAUAUAGGUGUUAUGAACAACCUCAUCAGGAAAACCUAAUUCACUUUUUCCUGAAUGGAGAUUUUGCUAGAGAUAUUUGGAAUGUUUUACAGGGAUAGCAGGAGCACAAGGUUCGUUCAUACAAGUAAAUCAGGCAAUCACAAUGGUGGAAAAAAGAUUGUGCACCUAACUUGAAAUCGAUAUAUCAAGCUGCACAGCAGUGAUAUUAUGGCAAUUAUGGAAGAGGAGGAGCAAGUUAGUUCAUGGGGGAACAAUGUCAAGGAAUAAAGUGAUUUAUGACAUCAAUCAAAAUUUGUAUCUUCUUCCGAAGAUCAAAUUCCUUAGAUCACAGAUAUUCCUAAUAAUUGGGCUAUUUAAUUCUAAAACUGGAGACAUAUAUGCAACAAAUACAAUGCAAGUUUAUAAACUAGCAGUUGUCCUUAAAGGGUACUUUUAAAUAUAACACUGAUGCUUCAUCUAAAGAUAACCCUGGACCUAGUUCAAUAGCAUUUUGCAUUAGAGAUUGGAGUGGCGACCUCAAUUAUGCAAGGAUAACAAGAAUAUCCAACACUACUAGCCUCCAAGCAGAAGCUAUGGCUAUUCUAGAUGCUAUUGAGUAUUAUGUGACACACCAUAUGAUGCCUCUGAUUAUUGAAACAGACUCCCUGAUAAUGAAAAAAGUGAUAGAAGGGGAAUGAGGUAGUCCUUGGUCUAUCAGUAUGAUUGCACAAAUAAUUAUGGAGUGGAAGAAAAAGGGCGAAGUGUGUGUCUCACAUGUACUAAGGGAAGGAAAUCAACUAGCCGACUAUUUAACUAACAAGUUUGAUGAUUUUGCAAGUACUAUUCACUUUCAUAAUGAAGAAGAUCUACCAAUAGAAACAAGAAGAAUUAUCCAUGCAGACAAAAUUCAGAUGCCUAAUUUGUGUUUGCAAGAAAGAGAACCAGACUAGACCAUUUCACAAUCAAAGUAAAAAGGCAACAGUAGAGCAAACAACAUACAUCUAGAAAUAAAGUUCACAAUUUCAAUGGUAAAAACAUCAAGCCAAUUGAUACAGUUUACAACGAUUCAAGAUGUCAUAAGUUUAUCGCAAAUUCAACACAUCCAAAAAUAUAAAGGUAUAAUUGAGUAGAUUUUCUAGCGGUGGCAUCAAUCUUCUUGAAGGUUCAACCCACUGAAGGAAAAGUUGAUUUUACCAAAAGAUUUUCUAAUUUGUGUUUCUAUAGUUCUAUUCCUAGAAAAUCUUGAUUACGGAUCUUACCUGAGGGCGUAAUAGCUCAUGCUAUCCUCGAACAAGUUGAAGAAGUCUUCAUUUGGGACAGAUCUCACAGCAUCUGGUGAGAGCAUUGGGGUGUCUUGAGUGGAAUCUACCAAAACUUGUCAACAGUCUAUAACUGAGUUUAGUAGCUCAAAAGAAUCUAAAUGGUCAGAGGUUAAUGUAGAUAGACUCACAUUAGUGCACUUCAUCACCUUUAUUUUGAUGUCUGAUGUCUCAAGUGACAGAUGUUAAUUUCGUUGAUGGUGAAAGAGAGUCUCGGGGUUUUGGACUUAAAAGUUUUAAAAUGGGAGUACUUGAGUGGAG
Molecule: long non-coding RNA, 11571 nt
Filed under: Capsicum annuum
Lineage: Eukaryota; Viridiplantae; Streptophyta; Magnoliopsida; Solanales; Solanaceae
Description: long non-coding RNA (CANN_LNC006609)
Source: RNAcentral